RNAcentral lists this ribosomal RNA (270 nucleotides) under uncultured bacterium. RNAcentral's name for it is "partial 16S ribosomal RNA". It matches the Rfam family "Bacterial small subunit ribosomal RNA", at positions 29 to 328 of the family's 1533-position model. The record is from RNAcentral.
AGCGAACGCUGGCGGCAGGCCUAAUACAUGCAAGUCGAGCGCACCUUCGGGUGAGCGGCGGACGGGUGAGUAACGCGUGGGAAUGUGCCCUUUGGUACGGAACAACUGAGGGAAACUUCAGCUAAUACCGUAUGUGCCCUUCGGGGGAAAGAUUUAUCGCCAUUGGAGCAGCCCGCGUUGGAUUAGGUAGUUGGUGAGGUAAAGGCUCACCAAGCCUACGAUCCAUAGCUGGUCUGAGAGGAUGAUCAGCCACACUGGGACUGAGACACG